Molecule: ribosomal RNA, 649 nt
Filed under: Chaetothyriales sp.
Lineage: Eukaryota; Fungi; Ascomycota; Eurotiomycetes; Chaetothyriales
Description: bacterial SSU rRNA
Rfam family: Bacterial small subunit ribosomal RNA
Source: RNAcentral
GUCGCGGUAAUACGUAAAAGACGAGUGUUAUUCAUCUUUAAUCGGUUUAAAGGGUACCUAGACGGAAAAUCAAGCUUAAUUAAACUAAGGACUAGUUUUCUAGAGUUUGACAUGAGAAGGUACGAACUAUCAGAGGAGAGAUAAAAUUUGUUGAUACUGGUGGGACGGACAACGGCGAAGGCAAUCUUCUACUAAAAACUGACGUUGAGGGACGAAGCCUUGGGGAGCGAGAAGGAUUAGAUACCCUAGUAGUCCUUGGAGAAAAUUAUGAGUGCCAUAGACUAAAGUGAAAAAGAAGUUCUUUUAAAAGAACUUUGUAUCUGAGCCUUAAUUGGAUACAAAGGUCUCGAGUAGCAGUUUAUAAAUGAAAGUGUAAGCAUUCCACCUCAUGACUAAAGCGGCAACGCCCAAAUUGAAAUCAUUAGACCGUUUCUGAAACCAGUAGUGAAGUAUGUUAUUUAAUUCGAUAACCCGCGAAUAACCUUACCACGUUUUGAAUUUAUUAAACAAGUGUUGCACGGCUGUCUUCAGUUAAUGUCGUGAGAUUUUGGUUUGUUCCAUUAAUUAACGAAAACCCUUGUUUCAUUUUUAUAUGAAAUAGUUCACCGUUAUAUUGGAAAGAUAAAAGGGAUCAAGACAAGUCAUCAUG